GAUAGAUAGAUAGAUAGAUAGAUAGAUAGAUAGAUAGAUAGAUAGAUAGAUAGAUAGAUAGAUAGAUAGAUAGAAAGUUGUAGAAUUGUAAAAGUUAUAUUAUUUAUUUAUUCACCUAGAAUAAGAAGUUUCAUGAAAUUUUUUAGAGGUGUCAAAUCAUCACAAUGCUUGCUUAAUAGAUAGAAGAUAGAUAAAUAGAUUUGAAAGUUGAAAAUAAAUACAAUAUUCUAACAAUUACUUAAAGCUUGCAACUGUGGAACAAAACACUAAAUGUCAAUUUUCAACCUGAAAAAAGAUAGAGAUAAUUAAAAAAGUUAUUAGAUAUGAUGUCUUAUAAGAUCAUAAGAGCAAUCAAACAAUUAUAAUUUACAAACUUACAUGAAAGACAAUUAUCUCAUACCUAUGUAUAUCAAUUUCUUAAACAUUGAGUCGCAUGCUUGGGAAUGUAA
RNAcentral lists this long non-coding RNA (449 nucleotides) under Trifolium pratense (red clover). Its description in RNAcentral is "long non-coding RNA (TPRA_LNC012869)". The record is from RNAcentral. Lineage: Eukaryota; Viridiplantae; Streptophyta; Magnoliopsida; Fabales; Fabaceae.